UAUACCGUGAACUGCGAAUGGCUCAUUAAAUCAGUUAUCGUUUAUUUGAUAGUACCUUACUACUUGGAUAACCGUGGUAAUUCUAGAGCUAAUACAUGCUGAAAACCCCAACUUCGGGAGGGGUGUAUUUAUUAGAUAAAAAACCAACGCCCUUCGGGGCUUCUUGGUGAUUCAUGAUAACUUUACGGAUCGCAUGGCCUUGCGCCGGCGACGGUUCAUUCAAAUUUCUGCCCUAUCAACUUUCGAUGGUAAGGUAUUGGCUUACCAUGGUUUCAACGGGUAACGGGGAAUUAGGGUUCGAUUCCGGAGAGGGAGCCUGAGAAACGGCUACCACAUCCAAGGAAGGCAGCAGGCGCGCAAAUUACCCAAUCCCGACACGGGGAGGUAGUGACAAUAAAUACUGAUACAGGGCUCUUUUGGGUCUUGUAAUUGGAAUGAGUACAAUUUAAACCUCUUAACGAGGAACAAUUGGAGGGCAAGUCUGGUGCCAGCAGCCGCGGUAAUUCCAGCUCCAAUAGCGUAUAUUAAAGUUGUUGCAGUUAAAAAGCUCGUAGUUGAACCUUGGGUCUGGCUGGCAGGUCCGCCUCACCGCGUGUACUUGUCCGGCCGGGCCUUCCUUCUGGAGAACCUCAUGCCCUUCACUGGGCGUGUUGGGGACCAGGACUUUUACUUUGAAAAAAUUAGAGUGUUCAAAGCAGGCCUUUGCUCGAAUACGUUAGCAUGGAAUAAUAGAAUAGGACGUGCGGUCCUAUUUUGUUGGUUUCUAGGACCGCCGUAAUGAUUAAUAGGGACAGUCGGGGGCAUCAGUAUUCAAUUGUCAGAGGUGAAAUUCUUGGAUUUAUUGAAGACUAACUACUGCGAAAGCAUUUGCCAAGGAUGUUUUCAUUAAUCAGUGAACGAAAGUUAGGGGAUCGAAGACGAUCAGAUACCGUCGUAGUCUUAACCGUAAACUAUGCCGACUAGGGAUCGGGCGAUGUUCUUUUUCUGACUCGCUCGGCACCUUACGAGAAAUCAAAGUU
This 1019-nucleotide ribosomal RNA is filed under the name Parastagonospora nodorum. RNAcentral describes it as "SSU rRNA". It matches the Rfam family "Eukaryotic small subunit ribosomal RNA", at positions 75 to 1105 of the family's 1831-position model. RNAcentral also lists the same sequence under 1 other name. Lineage: Eukaryota; Fungi; Ascomycota; Dothideomycetes; Pleosporales; Phaeosphaeriaceae. The record is from RNAcentral.